RNAcentral lists this ribosomal RNA (253 nucleotides) under uncultured bacterium. Its description in RNAcentral is "partial 16S ribosomal RNA". It matches the Rfam family "Bacterial small subunit ribosomal RNA", at positions 524 to 776 of the family's 1533-position model. The record is from RNAcentral.
GACGAACCGAGCGAACGUUGUUCGGAAUCACUGGGCUUAAAGGGCGCGUAGGCGGGCUGUCAAGUCUGGGGUGAAAUCCCACGGCUCAACCGUGGAACUGCCUCAGAUACUGACGGUCUCGAGGGAGGUAGGGGCGAGCGGAACUGAUGGUGGAGCGGCGAAAUGCGUUGAUAUCAUCAGGAACUCCGGUGGCGAAGGCGGCUCGCUGGACCUUUUCUGACGCUGAGGCGCGAAAGCUAGGGGAGCAAACGGG